CGACUGGCUGUGACCUCUAACAACGAUGUGUUCAAUAGAGCCGAUGGGAGGAUCAUUGUGCUAAAAUACCGAAAAACGCCAUUUUCGGUAGAAGACAGGCAAAAGCUUAAAGCCGGCAUUGGAUAAUAGCUGAAAUUCACACGGGGUUUCUACUAGCAUGGGUGAUCAGAAUGUUUCCUUUUUGGCAACAGCAAUUCCCGACAAUUUGCACCCUGGUGGAAAAAAUGUUGUCACGAUUAGUUCCGCCCAAAAUUCAAGACAGAUGUGAGAUGGCAACAAGGGGCUUCAGCUAUUGUAGCAACAUAUGCGAUAUUUGAAACAUCUGUAGGCAUAAAACCUCGAUGCAAGGAUGCAAUUAUGAAAUUAAUUCAAGAUAUGGCUGUGGAAAAGAGCAAUGAUGGCCCA
Dendronephthya gigantea is the source of this 405-nucleotide long non-coding RNA. RefSeq lists it as uncharacterized. The transcript has 4 exons. The record is from RefSeq and is a predicted model, not a curated record. Lineage: Eukaryota; Metazoa; Cnidaria; Anthozoa; Malacalcyonacea; Nephtheidae.